UACGGGGGGGGCAAGCGUUGUUCGGAAUUACUGGGCGUAAAGGGCUCGUAGGUGGCCAACUAAGUCAGACGUGAAAUCCCCCGGCUUAACCUGGGAACUGCGUCUGAUACUGGACGGCUUGAGUGCGGGAGAGGGAUGUGGAAUUCCAGGUGUAGCGGUGAAAUGCGUAGAUAUCUGGAGGAACACCGGUGGCGAAGGCGGCAUCCUGGACCGACACUGACGCUGAGGCGCGAAAGCCAGGGGAGCAAACGGG
This 253-nucleotide ribosomal RNA is filed under the name uncultured bacterium. Its description in RNAcentral is "partial 16S ribosomal RNA". It matches the Rfam family "Bacterial small subunit ribosomal RNA", at positions 524 to 776 of the family's 1533-position model. The record is from RNAcentral.